UUCGCAUGUUAGGUACGCUGCUAGAUGGAUGACUCGGCUCGAAACGCCGAUGAAGGACGUGACAAGCUACGAUAUGCCCUGGCGAGUUGAAUGUAAGCGUUGAACCAGGGAUUUCCGAAUGAGUCUUCUCAUUAUAGGCCAGUCAUGGCCGGGGAACGCAGGGAAUUGAAGCGUCUUAGUACCUGCAGGAAAAGAAAUCAAUUGAGAUGCCGUGAGUAAGAGCGACCGAAAACGGCCCAGUUCAAACUGAAUCCGCUGCAGUAAUGCAAUGGAGAUGUGGUGCGGUGGACUUUCAGCAGGCCUUUUUUCCGACUUAAAGUCUUCUGGAAAGGAGCACGACAAAGGGUGACAGUCCCGUAAGGGAAAGAAAAAAGGUCAUUGGAAGUAUCCUGAGUACCGCUCCUUGGAAAUGGGGUGGGAAUCUGGGGGGCAUUAACCCCUAAAACUAAAUACGUUUCGAGUCCGAUAGCAAACCAGUACCGUGAGGGAAAGUUGAAAAGAACCCCUGACCGGGAGUUCAAAGAUCCUGAAAUCUAGCAGUUUUAGUAUGGUAGGGCAUUAAGGUGUUCUACCGUGCGUUUCGAAUAACGUGCCAGGGAGUGUAUCUAAGUGGCAAGGAUAACCUGUAUAAGGGCAUCCGAAGGGAAACCAAGACUCCGCAAGCAAUGAGGGAGAUGGUAUGAAAGUGCCAUAAGUCACUUGGAUACGACCCGAAACCGGGCGAUCUAUUCCUGGGCAAGGUGAAGCGAGGGUAAAACCUCGUGGAGGCCUGCAGAGGUUCUGUGUGCAAGCGUUCUUCUGACCUGGGAAUAGGGGUGAAAAGCCAAUCGAGCUCGGUGAUAGCGGGUUCCCAUCGAAAUUGACCUUAGUCAAGUCUCGGACGAGAUAGUUAUGGCUGUAGAGCGACGGAUAAGGGAUUUAGGCAGGGAAACUUGUCGGUCCCCUGUCCAACUCCGAAUACUGUAACGUUGUAGACUCCGGGAAACAGGGAAUGUUGGGGUAAACUUCAUUCCCAAAAGGGGAACAACCCCGACUAUGGUUAAGGCCCCAAAAUGUCAGCUAAGUGAUAAAGGGUAAAAGGCGUUUAUGAUCUUAGACAGCGAGGAGGUUGGCUUAGAAGCAGCCACCCUUUAAAAAGUGCGUAACAGCUUACUCGUUGAGGUCGUGAGCCCUGAAGAUUAACGGGUCUAAGUUGACUGCCGAUACCAUAGACCACGAUGAGUGGGGGUAGAUGGGCGCUCUUCUAGGGCAGAAGCAUCUUCAUGAGAGGAUGUGGACCUAGAAGAAAUGAAUAUCCUGGUGGUAGUAGGAUCGUAGCAGAGUGAAAACCUCUGCCAUCGUAAGGGCCAGGGUUCCUUGGCAAUGUCUGUCAGCCAAGGGUUAGUCGGUCCUAACUUAUCUCAUACUUGAGUUAAGGGAAAGGGAGAGCGGUUAAUAUUCCGCUACUGCUUUUGUAUGCGUGGCAACACAAGCUUUGUUUCUGACGCUUCCGAAUAGAUCAACAUCGCUCGUCUACGAUGUCAAUAUGGAUACAUCACGGGAGUAUCAUAAUGAUGAGAACGUGAUGAAACCAUAGAUGAGCAGGCCUAUGGUCUGUUUGGUUGAUUUCCGGAGCCCCUGAAAAAGGAACAAAGAAAAAUCAGAAGCAACCGUACCGAGAACCAGCACUGGUGCCCCUAGGUGAGUAGCCUAAGAUGUGUGAGUGUAAACUAGUUCAGGGAAUUCGGCAAAUUAGUCCUGUACCUUCGGUAGAAGGGAUCCCUGCAUUCGUAUCUGUAUAGGUGCGAGUUCAGGGCUCAGUGACAAGGAUGGUCCGACUGUUUAACAAAAACUUAACAUUCUGCUAGGCGGUAACGCUGUGUAUAGAAUGUGAUAUCUGCCCAGUGCCAGUACUUUAAACUUCGGUUCAACGGAGCGAAGAGCUGGUAAACGGCGGGAGUAACUAUAACUCUCUUAAGGUGAAAUACGUUGCUUUAAGACCCAAAAGUUAAACAGUAUACCUAAAAACUUGGGAUAAAAAUUUGGCUAUAUGCUGGAACAUCUCAACGAAAGUUUCUAGUAAAAUUUUCUGGUAACGGAGAAUUUAUCUCAAAAUGAAACUGGAGAGACAAUCAGCAGGAAAGACUUCUCAACGAGAAGAAUCCUCAGAGACUGAACGCCAAACCAAUCUUUGAAGAAAAUUUUUUGAUUAAUUUUUUUUAGCUUUAUCAAUAUAAAUGAUAGAGGUUUUUGAUCAAACUUUUUCUAAAAAAGUUUGGAAGAUACAGUCCGAACACAGCAGCGAUGUUGUGAGAUCAGUAGAAAUACUCGGUCCGGUUCUUAAAAGAGAAUCAGUAACAAACCUUGAGCGUAAUACCUUGCCGAUUGAAUGUCGGCUUGCAUGAAUGGUAUAACGAGAUCGUCACUGUCCCGAACUAGUGUCUCCUGAAAACUUCUUCCUGGUGCAAAGACCAGGGAUUUCCAGUGGGAAGCGAAGACCCCGUGAAACUUUACUGCAGCUUGUUGUUGUGGUGCGGUUUUUGUUACAUAGUGUAAGUGGGAGCCGUUAGGCGUAUGCUUGUGGGCGUAUGAUAGGCAACAAUGUAACACCACUUUUCAAGUACUUCAUCACUUACCUCGCAAGAGGGACACCAAUUGGUGGGCAGUUUGGCUGGGGUGGCACGCUGCUGAAAGGAUAUCAGUAGCGCCCAAUGGUUGACUCAUCCGGUUUAGAAAUCCGGAGUUGAGUGCAAGGGCAUAAGUCAGCCUGAUUGGAGUUCAAACAUAACGAAUUCCAAACGCGAAAGCGUGGCCUAGCGAACUCCUGAGCCUUCUUAAUGAGGGCCAGGAAUGACUGAAAAGUUACUCCGGGGAUAACUGAGUUGUCGCGCCCGAGAGUUCAUAUCGACGGCGCGGUUUGCUUCUUCAUCGUGAGCUGGGUUCAGAACGCUGUGAGGCAGUUUGUUUGAUAUCUACUGGGAAUGUUGGGUGUCUGAAAGGAAGGAUCUUUUAGUACGAGAGGAACGAAGGUUCGUAGCCACUGGUCGAUCGGUUGUCUGACAAGGCAUGCCGAGCAGCUACGCUAUACGUGAUAAGUGCUGAAAGCAUCUAAGCACGAAGCACACCUUGAAAAGAGACACCUUAGGACACGGCAAUAACAGCCGUUUGAUAGAAGCGAUGUGUACGCACCAAGGCAACGAGGUGUUCAGCAUGCGCUUACUAACGUCCACAACCUAUAUACC
Molecule: ribosomal RNA, 3221 nt
Filed under: Candidatus Woesearchaeota archaeon
Lineage: Archaea; Nanobdellati; Candidatus Woesearchaeota
Description: 23S ribosomal RNA
Rfam family: Archaeal large subunit ribosomal RNA
Source: RNAcentral